This is a non-coding RNA of Triticum aestivum (bread wheat), 114 nucleotides long. The record is from Rfam. Lineage: Eukaryota; Viridiplantae; Streptophyta; Magnoliopsida; Poales; Poaceae.
UACGUACUUCCUCCGUUUGAAAAUACUUGUCAUUUUCUAGAACUAAAAUACAUCUAGAUGCAUUCCCUUUUAUUCAUUUUGAUGACAAGUAUUUUCGGACGGAGGGAGUAUUUG